AAAUAAUUUGAGAAUCAACGGGAUGGCACUGCGAGUAUAUCACAUGAUCUUCCGAAUGGUUAACCUGUACGCUGAUAAUUAUAUGACAGCACCCAGACGAUUGCAACUGCUGAGAUUCCUAUGCGUGCUGAUACUUCAUUUUACGAUUAGUAAAGUGAAUACUACUGGAAGUAAAUGUCAUCAUUUCGGAGUAUGAGAAUGAAAGUGAAUUAUCAAGAGCAGAGGGGCUAGACUGAUGGGUAGAACAUUGGAUUCAAUCGAGAGAUAAGCAACAUCAUACUUGGUUGUUUUUUUGAAUGAAU
RNAcentral lists this unclassified non-coding RNA (302 nucleotides) under Athalia rosae (coleseed sawfly). RNAcentral's name for it is "misc RNA ENSAEAG00005011483.1". Lineage: Eukaryota; Metazoa; Arthropoda; Insecta; Hymenoptera; Athaliidae. The record is from RNAcentral.